GGUUAAGCGACUAAGCGUACACGGUGGAUGCCCUGGCAGUCAGAGGCGAUGAAGGACGUGCUAAUCUGCGAUAAGCGUCGGUAAGGUGAUAUGAACCGUUAUAACCGGCGAUUUCCGAAUGGGGAAACCCAGUGUGAUUCGUCACACUAUCAUUAACUGAAUCCAUAGGUUAAUGAGGCGAACCGGGGGAACUGAAACAUCUAAGUACCCCGAGGAAAAGAAAUCAACCGAGAUUCCCCCAGUAGCGGCGAGCGAACGGGGAGCAGCCCAGAGCCUGAAUCAGUAUGUGUGUUAGUGGAAGCGUCUGGAAAGGCGUGCGAUACAGGGUGACAGCCCCGUACACAAAAAUGCACAUGCUGUGAGCUCGAUGAGUAGGGCGGGACACGUGGUAUCCUGUCUGAAUAUGGGGGGACCAUCCUCCAAGGCUAAAUACUCCUGACUGACCGAUAGUGAACCAGUACCGUGAGGGAAAGGCGAAAAGAACCCCGGCGAGGGGAGUGAAAAAGAACCUGAAACCGUGUACGUACAAGCAGUGGGAGCCUCUUUAAUGGGGUGACUGCGUACCUUUUGUAUAAUGGGUCAGCGACUUAUAUUCUGUAGCAAGGUUAACCGAAUAGGGGAGCCGAAGGGAAACCGAGUCUUAACUGGGCGUUAAGUUGCAGGGUAUAGACCCG
This 674-nucleotide ribosomal RNA is filed under the name Escherichia marmotae. Its description in RNAcentral is "partial 23S ribosomal RNA". It matches the Rfam family "Bacterial large subunit ribosomal RNA", at positions 1 to 717 of the family's 2925-position model. Lineage: Bacteria; Pseudomonadati; Pseudomonadota; Gammaproteobacteria; Enterobacterales; Enterobacteriaceae. The record is from RNAcentral.